CCCUUAGAUGUUCUGGGCUGCACGCGCGCUACACUGAUGCGCUCAACGAGUUUACGACCUUGCCCGGAAGGGUUGGGUAAUCUUUUUAAAACGCAUCGUGAUGGGGAUAGAUUAUUGCAAUUAUUAAUCUUUAACGAGGAAUUCCUAGUAAGCACAAGUCAUCAGCUUGUGUUGAUUACGUCCCUGCCCUUUGUACACACCGCCCGUCGCUCCUACCGAUUGAAUGUUCCGGUGAGCUCUUCGGACUGCGCGGUCUGCAGUUUCUGCGUUCCGUGCGGAAAGUUGCGCAAACCUUAACAUUUAGAGGAAGGAGAAGUCGUAACA
RNAcentral lists this ribosomal RNA (324 nucleotides) under uncultured eukaryote. Its description in RNAcentral is "partial 18S ribosomal RNA". It matches the Rfam family "Eukaryotic small subunit ribosomal RNA", at positions 1470 to 1796 of the family's 1831-position model. The record is from RNAcentral.